GCGAACGCUGGCGGCAGGCCUAACACAUGCAAGUCGAACGAACCUUCGGGUUAGUGGCGGACGGGUGAGUAACACGUGGGAACGUGCCUUUUGGUUCGGAACAACUCAGGGAAACUUGAGCUAAUACCGAAUGUGCCCUUCGGGGGAAAGAUUUAUCGCCAUUAGAGCGGCCCGCGUCUGAUUAGCUAGUUGGUGAGGUAAAGGCUCACCAAGGCUACGAUCAGUAGCUGGUCUGAGAGGAUGACCAGCCACAUUGGGACUGAGACACGGCCCAAACUCCUACGGGAGGCAGCAGUGGGGAAUCUUGCGCAAUGGGCGAAAGCCUGACGCAGCCAUGCCGCGUGAAUGAUGAAGGUCUUAGGAUUGUAAAAUUCUUUCACCGGGGACGAUAAUGACGGUACCCGGAGAAGAAGCCCCGGCUAACUUCGU
RNAcentral lists this ribosomal RNA (429 nucleotides) under uncultured bacterium. RNAcentral describes it as "bacterial SSU rRNA". It matches the Rfam family "Bacterial small subunit ribosomal RNA", at positions 29 to 506 of the family's 1533-position model. The record is from RNAcentral.